ACUCAAAGUAUCCAAAUGUCUGAAACCCUGAGUCAGAGCCUAGAGAAACCUUAGGAUAAAAGGGAGUCACAGGCAUAGAACAAUUCGAAGUCUCACUGAGGAAAGGACACUUUGCCUCAGACUGGGACAAUCGGCACUCCCGCCUGCUGUACAAAGUAUUGGGACUUCCCUGGCUGAUUGUGGUGUGGAUGUUAUCCACUUACCACUCUUCUUCAGCCUGAGUAUCAUCUACUAACUGUAUAUACUCAAUAUCUCCAUCUUCAGCCCACUCUGUGUGGCAAUAGGUAACCUGUGUGCACUGCACUGGAGGAUUAACUUUGCCCUCAGGCUUCUGAGAGGGCUCAGUCACUGGAAGACGCCAGCUGUUCAGAGUUCUGGAAUAUGAGGUGGGGUAUUUAUUCUCCUGGUUCUCUCCCAUCUGGGCCUCAGAGUGGUGAAUUAUUUUAUCCAAAGCCAAAGUUACUGUGGGGUGGCCCUUUCUUCCAGCACUUUCUUGUUUUCUAUAACACCACUCAUUCUCAUGCCCCUUCCGAUGCCAGCUCUGGAGUGCUUCUCCAUUCCUUCUUGGUUUCCUUUCACCUGCCCACACCUUCCCUUUGUGAAUACUCACUUUAUUAAACUCUUCUCAAUUACCUCCUUAGAGUAUGCAUCUGCUUCCUUUGGAAACAUUGAUGAUAUAGAUCCCACUUACAAGUGAAAAAUUACUCCAAAAUAUUUAGUAAACCAAAAUAUUUAAUCCUGGGGCAUUUUGGAAGUUGUGCAUAGAAAUAGGAUCCAGCAGACCAUAGUGAGAAUGAGUGUCUGCUGAAGUAAAGGGAAAAUAAGGAGUGUAGGAUAUGAAGGAAGUCUAGGAAAUAUGUUAGUUCUAUCAAACGCUGAUGAGUGGUUGAAGAGUGUGGGGAUAAAAAAGUGUAAUUGUGGGAAUUAAAGCUUCAUUGUAGAAGAUUCACUGGGAGGUGAAAGAUGGAGAUAGUGUAUAUAUGCAGUUAGGAGGUGAUGUUUUAGGUUUUUAUUCAAAAAUAAUUAAAAAUGUACAGGAAAGAUGCAAGAAUAGUCCUCUCUCUCAGUCUCUCAACAGAGUAGAUUUCACAUAACAGGUAUAGGUAUGGCCACCUAUAACUUAAUGUUUCAGGUUGUGCUUUUUUUUCUUCUGCUUUUUCUCCUCAAAUUCCCCCAGUAUAUAGUUGUAUAUUUUACUUGUGGUCCUUCUAGUUGUGAGGUUGUAUUUCUUAAGGACAAGGAUUCUCUUACAUAAGUACAGUACAGUUAUCAGACUUAGGAAAUUUUAAUUCAAAAUAAUACUUUUGUAUAAUUUAAAGUCCAUAGUGCAAUUUACCAAUUCUCCCAAUCACGUCCUUUACAGCAUUUUUACUCCUCCAGUUCAUGCUCCAGUCCAGAAUCGUAUGUUGCAUUUAGUUAUCAUGUCUCCUUAGCCUCCUUUAAGAUGGAAGAGUUCCUCACUCUUUCAUGAUGUUGACAUUUUGAAGAAUACGGGCCAGUUAUUUCACUGAAUUGUCCUUAAUUUAGGUUUGUCUAAAGUUUCCUCAUGAUAAGAUUCAGAUCAUGCAUGUACGGCUGGAAUGCCGCAUAAGUGAGGUUGUCCAACUUCAAGGCAUCAUGUUUGGAAGUACACAAUGCGUGUCUGCUUCUCAGUGGUCAUCACAACUUUGAUCCUGCCAGCAACGUGCUGUCUGAUGUCUCCACCGCACGGUUACAAUUUCCCCCCUCACAACUAAUAAGCAAUCUAAGAGAAGUUGAGAUCAUGCAAAUAUUCUCCUUCUCAUUAAAAUUCCCUCCUCAUACUUAGCAACCGUUGGCAGUUCCUGUCCAAAUUUUUACUAUUGUGGUUGCAAAACAAUGAUCUUCCAAUGCUACCACUCUGCACAUAUUUGUCAGUUAAAAUUCUACUAUAGGAGAGAAUCCUCUAUUCUCCUCUUUUUACCUAUUUUUAAAUUUGUAUAGACUCAUGGUUUUUGAUAUUAUUUAGCAAUUUAGAACCCGUUUGUCUGCCUGUUUAUUUUGAUCCUCAAAUUCUUAAGUGAUUUUGAAGUGGAACAUAGAAAUUUGGUAGUUGAAGAAUGAUGGAUUUCAGAGAAAUGUUUUCUUUAAAUGUGUUCUAAGGUAUGUUUACAUCCCAAGGGGAAUGAAUUCACAGUGUUGAAGAAAUUACUAGUGCAGGUCAGAGGGCAAAUUUCACUUUAAGUAGGUGAGAGGAGAUAUAAUACAGAGAGGCUUAGGUGGAACUGUUAAAAGAAAAAAUUUCUUUAAAAUUCCCCAUCGUCCUACAGCUCAUCUUUAUUUUUCUUUACAUUUUUUCACAGUGUGAAAGGCAAUCUCCUUGCACCAUCAAAGGGUAGAGAUUUCCUUUGGUUUCAUUGCUGCACUGUCUGCCCUGUUGACAGAGGCAGUUUUGGCCAUCCUUUAGCCUUGACACUUCUCUGGGCAAAAAGUAGGCAUCAGGGUCAGUGAUCUCCAAAGGUCUUGGGAAACAUAUCAGGUUUUCCUGGACUCUCUCUUGAGGUGCCUCACUCCGGUGGCCAUUCUGAGGUAGGUGGACCCAUUUCUGAUGAGCAGGAGGCAUCCAGUCAAGGCGUGAAAUGUUAACCUCACCUUCUUAACAGGUGCUUGCUAAACAUCCUAAAAUUUAUUUAUGGGACUCUACGUCAUUUGGCUUCAUAGAGGUACACCUUUGAUACCUGCUGGAUGGGAUGUGAAUGUGGACACUACAGUUUUCUCUACUCCUUGGAAUUCCUUUCUGUGAAUCUUCUCUUAGCUGUAGAUUUUACUUCUAUUGCCUGUAGAAGAUAAUGGUCCAGGGCAUGUUAUCUUACUUAACAAGUCUGUGGGGGAUGUUUCUAGAAUCUCUCUUUAGAAUCUACAGUACCUAUCACUCAUUGAUCUAAUUUUGAGAGCUCUUCUCAUCAUAAGAGAAGUCCAUUCCAUGUAAUAUAAACUCUCAUAGAAUUUAACAAGGCCUUGAGCAGAGGGAAUAGUAACUUCUUAAAGAUAUUGUUUGCCAUGAUAAUUUUAAGGAAACAGGGAAAAGUAUGAAUGAAAAAGCCAGGAUGAACAUAUAAUUUAUCACGUAUACCAGGACACUUGAGAAUUAAAGGGGGCACUAUCAAUUAUAACAGAAUAAGAAACUAUGACUAUGACUGUCCCAGGCACACUGGAUGUAUGGUUAUCUUAGUUAUGACAUAAAGAGAAUAAAAAAUAAGAAUUAAUAUUAACAGGUAUAUGGUACUUUAUAUUUGGUCAAGUGGAAAGUAGUCUGGGAGAAGAAAGAGUGUAGGGACUGAUUAAGUGAGACCAUUAAGUGUUGUGAGUAGCUUGGUCCAUUAGAGAAACUCGACUGAGUUUCAGUUACUAUACUAGGCAUAUUGCCUACAUCACGUCUAAUUCUCGUGGAAACUGGGCCUGAUACACCAUUAUCAAGUACAUACUAUUACAAUGUUCUUACAUUUGAAGCUCAGGUAGUUCAUAUGAUUCAAAUCCAGAUUAAAACCCAAGGAUACAGUGGUGGGGAAGAGAAAGUAAAUGUUUGAAAGGAAGGUGAAUAAAACAGUUAUGGUUAUGGCAGUAAAACUGCUUUGAAAUUUGACUCUGAUAUUCAGAGGAAAUUCAGUCACAUUGUUUUGUGUAUAGCUAAAUUGUAAUCUAGGUCCCCAACUACAGUUGGAAAGGAGGUGAUUAUUACACGCGUAAUUCAUUUGAAAGUUUUACUAGAAAAAGAAAGAAAACUAAAAUAUGUUGCUCAAAAGCAGAAUAUUUAUAAAAUCAGAUGAGCGCCUGCAGGGGGCAGUAGGAACGUGAUGCUUCCGAAAUCAGAGAAAUGAAAGUUAAAACAAAGUGAUGUACAUUUUCACCUCCGAAAUCACAAACGAUCCAGUCCAAGGAACUAGCAGUGCUUCUGGGACACGGAAAGCCGCAACGAUGAGCAGCUAGCACUCUAGCCAGGGACAAGCUUUCUUUUUUGCUGUAAAUAAGUUGUUGCCACCUAGAAACUGCCUGCACUGAGAAAUGAGUGCUGAGCAAACGAGAACCAUCUGGCUUAGAGGAAUGAACAGUGCUGUCACCUAGAAAAUGCCAAUUAGGGACAAAAUCACGCGGCGAUUAAAGAACAAAGACACAACAAUGUCGGUCCAGCAGUACCACCGAAAGUGCGAACGGAACGUCACCUCGCCGCAAAUAACGGUGCUACACAGGAAACAGCCGGCCAGGGAGGCGAGCGGUGCUAGGACCGAGGAAGCAACGGCACAGAGUACCAAGGUGCCCUGCGAACGAAAAAGGUUCUCUUUGGCGCUAGGAGCGAUGCCUCAACUGAGAAACCUCAGGCUAGGCACAGAUGGCGAAAGUGCUGAUGAGAAACCGCCGCUGGUCGGAAAGAGCAGCGCUGAUGAGACACCAGAGGAGCUGGUGGUGCUGGGACCUGGUAGGCUCCGUGGGGCACCCAGCAAUGAGCGGUGCUUUCUCAGAGAUAAUUAUCUGUCUCGGAGCGAUCAACAGUGGUGCAAAAGAGAGUCGGCCAGCCCUGAGAACCGGCAAUAGGCCACCGAAAAAGAUCCGACUUGGAGGGAUCAUUGGGGCUGUCCUGGAGAAAAGAGCCACUCCGUGUGACUGAAAAAGCGCCAUGAAACGCUAGUAAGGAAAUGGCAAUGAUUAAAAAUAAAUCAAUAAAUAACGC
This is a long non-coding RNA of Equus caballus (horse), 4684 nucleotides long. Lineage: Eukaryota; Metazoa; Chordata; Mammalia; Perissodactyla; Equidae. The record is from Ensembl.